This 250-nucleotide unclassified non-coding RNA is filed under the name Ascomycota sp. Its description in RNAcentral is "partial contains small subunit ribosomal RNA, internal transcribed spacer 1, and 5.8S ribosomal RNA". The stretch from base 1 to 47 matches the Rfam family "Eukaryotic small subunit ribosomal RNA", at positions 1785 to 1831 of the family's 1831-position model. The record is from RNAcentral. Lineage: Eukaryota; Fungi; Ascomycota.
AAAGUCGUAACAAGGUUUCCGUAGGUGAACCUGCGGAAGGAUCAUUACUGAGUGAGGGCCCCUCGGGGUCCAACCUCCCACCCGUGUUUAACGAACCUUGUUGCUUCGGCGAGCCCGCCUCACGGCCGCCGGGGGGCAUCUGCCCCCGGGCCCGCGCCCGCCGAAGCCACCUGUGAACUCGUCUGAAGUAUGCAGUCUGAGACAAUUAUUAAAUUAAUUAAAACUUUCAACAACGGAUCUCUUGGUUCCG